This 461-nucleotide ribosomal RNA is filed under the name uncultured bacterium. RNAcentral's name for it is "bacterial SSU rRNA". It matches the Rfam family "Bacterial small subunit ribosomal RNA", at positions 28 to 526 of the family's 1533-position model. The record is from RNAcentral.
GAUGAACGCUGGCGGCGUGCCUAAUACAUGCAAGUCGAGCGGUAAGGCCACUUCGGUGGUACACGAGCGGCGGACGGCUGAGUAACACGUAGGAACGUACCCCAAACUGAGGGAUAAGCACCAGAAAUGGUGUCUAAUACCGCAUGUGAUCUUCGGAUUAAAGCUUCGGCGGUUUGGGAACGGCCUGCGCAUGAUUAGCUUGUUGGUGAGGUAAUGGCUCACCAAGGCGACGAUCAUUAGCUGGUCUGAGAGGAUGAUCAGCCAGACUGGGACUGAGAACGGCCCAGACUCCUACGGGAGGCAGCAGUAGGGAAUUUUCCACAAUGGACGAAAGUCUGAUGGAGCAACGCCGCGUGCAGGAUGAAGGCUUUCGGGUCGUAAACUGCUUUUAUAUGUGACGAUUAUGACGGUAGCAUAUGAAUAAGGAUCGGCUAACUCCGUGCCAGCAGCCGCGGUAACAC